GUGCUCGCUUUGGCAGCACAUAUACUAAAAUUGGAAUGAUAUAGAGAAGAUUAGCAUGGUCCCAGCGUAAGGAUGACAUGCAAAUUCGUGAAGCAUUCCAUGGAAAA
Molecule: small nuclear RNA, 107 nt
Filed under: Spermophilus dauricus (Daurian ground squirrel)
Lineage: Eukaryota; Metazoa; Chordata; Mammalia; Rodentia; Sciuridae
Source: RNAcentral